Molecule: ribosomal RNA, 464 nt
Filed under: uncultured bacterium
Lineage: Bacteria
Description: bacterial SSU rRNA
Rfam family: Bacterial small subunit ribosomal RNA
Source: RNAcentral
GUGAACGCUGGCGGCGUGCUUAACACAUGCAAGUCGAACGGUAACAGGAAGUAGCUUGCUACUUUGCUGACGAGUGGCGCACGGGUGAGUAUACCAUAGAUAAUGUACCUCUUAGUUUGGGAUAGCCACUGGAAACGGUGAUUAAUACCAGAUACUCCUUCUCGUUAUAAGACGAGUCGGGAAAGUUUUUUCGCUAAGAGAUCAGUCUAUGUCCUAUCAGCUAGUUGGUGAGGUAAUGGCUCACCAAGGCAAUGACGGGUAGCGGUUCUGAGAGGAUGAUCCGCCACACUGGUACUGAGACACGGACCAGACUCCUACGGGAGGCAGCAGUGAGGAAUAUUGCACAAUGGGGGGAACCCUGAUGCAGCAACGCCGCGUGGAGGAUGACGCAUUUCGGUGUGUAAACUCCUUUUAUAUGUCAAGAAAAUGACGGUAGCAUAUGAAUAAGCACCGGCUAACUCCGU